RNAcentral lists this ribosomal RNA (499 nucleotides) under uncultured bacterium. Its description in RNAcentral is "partial 16S ribosomal RNA". It matches the Rfam family "Bacterial small subunit ribosomal RNA", at positions 28 to 507 of the family's 1533-position model. The record is from RNAcentral.
GAUGAACGCUGGCGGCGUGCCUAAUACAUGCAAGUCGAGCGAACAGACGAGAGUGCUUGCACUCUCUGGCGUGAGCGGCGGACGGGUGAGACACACGUGGGCAACCUACCUAUAAGACUGGGAUAACUUCGGGAAACGGGAACUCAUACCAGAUAAUAUUUAUCUUUGGAUGGAGCAAUAGUGAUAGGCCGUUCUGCUGUCACUUAUAGAUGGACCCGCGGUGUAGUAGGUGGUUGGUGUGGUAACGGCUCACCAAGGCAACGAUGCAUAGCCGACGGGGGAGGGUGAUCGGCGACACUAGAACUGAGACAGGGACAAGGGUCCUGCGGGAGGCAGCAGUAGGGAAUCUGCCGCAAUAGUCGAAAGUCUGACGGAGCAGUGCCGCGUGAGUGAAGAAAGUGUUCGGAUCGUAAAGCUGGGUUGUGAGGGAAGAACAAGUACGGUAGGAACUGAACGUAGCGUGACGGUACCUGAUCAGGAAGCCACGGCUAACUACGUG